GUAGGGAAUCUUGCGCAAUGGGCGAAAGCCUGACGCAGCCAUGCCGCGUGAAUGAUGAAGGUCUUAGGAUUGUAAAAUUCUUUCACCGGGGACGAUAAUGACGGUACCCGGAGAAGAAGCCCCGGCUAACUUCGUGCCAGCAGCCGCGGUAAUACGAAGGGGGCUAGCGUUGCUCGGAAUUACUGGGCGUAAAGGGAGCGUAGGCGGAUAGUUUAGUCAGAGGUGAAAGCCCAGGGCUCAACCUUGUAAUUGCCUUUGAUACUGGCUAUCUUGAGUAUGGAAGAGGUAUGUGGAACUCCGAGUGUAGAGGUGAAAUUCGUAGAUAUUCGGAAGAACACCAGUGGCGAAGGCGACAUACUGGUCCAUUACUGACGCUGAGGCUCGAAAGCGUGGGGAGCAAACAGGAUUAGAAACCCUGGUAGUCC
Molecule: ribosomal RNA, 425 nt
Filed under: uncultured bacterium
Lineage: Bacteria
Description: partial 16S ribosomal RNA
Rfam family: Bacterial small subunit ribosomal RNA
Source: RNAcentral